This 1409-nucleotide ribosomal RNA is filed under the name Klebsiella pneumoniae. RNAcentral describes it as "bacterial SSU rRNA". It matches the Rfam family "Bacterial small subunit ribosomal RNA". Lineage: Bacteria; Pseudomonadati; Pseudomonadota; Gammaproteobacteria; Enterobacterales; Enterobacteriaceae. The record is from RNAcentral.
UGCAGUCGAGCGGUAGCACAGAGAGCUUGCUCUCGGGUGACGAGCGGCGGACGGGUGAGUAAUGUCUGGGAAACUGCCUGAUGGAGGGGGAUAACUACUGGAAACGGUAGCUAAUACCGCAUAAUGUCGCAAGACCAAAGUGGGGGACCUUCGGGCCUCAUGCCAUCAGAUGUGCCCAGAUGGGAUUAGCUAGUAGGUGGGGUAACGGCUCACCUAGGCGACGAUCCCUAGCUGGUCUGAGAGGAUGACCAGCCACACUGGAACUGAGACACGGUCCAGACUCCUACGGGAGGCAGCAGUGGGGAAUAUUGCACAAUGGGCGCAAGCCUGAUGCAGCCAUGCCGCGUGUGUGAAGAAGGCCUUCGGGUUGUAAAGCACUUUCAGCGGGGAGGAAGGCGUUGAGGUUAAUAACCUUGUCGAUUGACGUUACCCGCAGAAGAAGCACCGGCUAACUCCGUGCCAGCAGCCGCGGUAAUACGGAGGGUGCAAGCGUUAAUCGGAAUUACUGGGCGUAAAGCGCACGCAGGCGGUCUGUCAAGUCGGAUGUGAAAUCCCCGGGCUCAACCUGGGAACUGCAUUCGAAACUGGCAGGCUAGAGUCUUGUAGAGGGGGGUAGAAUUCCAGGUGUAGCGGUGAAAUGCGUAGAGAUCUGGAGGAAUACCGGUGGCGAAGGCGGCCCCCUGGACAAAGACUGACGCUCAGGUGCGAAAGCGUGGGGAGCAAACAGGAUUAGAUACCCUGGUAGUCCACGCCGUAAACGAUGUCGAUUUGGAGGUUGUGCCCUUGAGGCGUGGCUUCCGGAGCUAACGCGUUAAAUCGACCGCCUGGGGAGUACGGCCGCAAGGUUAAAACUCAAAUGAAUUGACGGGGGCCCGCACAAGCGGUGGAGCAUGUGGUUUAAUUCGAUGCAACGCGAAGAACCUUACCUGGUCUUGACAUCCACAGAACUUUCCAGAGAUGGAUUGGUGCCUUCGGGAACUGUGAGACAGGUGCUGCAUGGCUGUCGUCAGCUCGUGUUGUGAAAUGUUGGGUUAAGUCCCGCAACGAGCGCAACCCUUAUCCUUUGUUGCCAGCGGUUCGGCCGGGAACUCAAAGGAGACUGCCAGUGAUAAACUGGAGGAAGGUGGGGAUGACGUCAAGUCAUCAUGGCCCUUACGACCAGGGCUACACACGUGCUACAAUGGCAUAUACAAAGAGAAGCGACCUCGCGAGAGCAAGCGGACCUCAUAAAGUAUGUCGUAGUCCGGAUUGGAGUCUGCAACUCGACUCCAUGAAGUCGGAAUCGCUAGUAAUCGUAGAUCAGAAUGCUACGGUGAAUACGUUCCCGGGCCUUGUACACACCGCCCGUCACACCAUGGGAGUGGGUUGCAAAAGAAGUAGGUAGCUUAACCUUCGGGAGGGCGCUACCA